RNAcentral lists this ribosomal RNA (442 nucleotides) under uncultured bacterium. RNAcentral describes it as "bacterial SSU rRNA". It matches the Rfam family "Bacterial small subunit ribosomal RNA", at positions 958 to 1399 of the family's 1533-position model. The record is from RNAcentral.
AACGCGAAGAACCUUACCAGGUCUUGACAUCCCUCUGACCGUCCUAGAGAUAGGGCUUCCCUUCGGGGCAGAGGAGACAGGUGGUGCAUGGUUGUCGUCAGCUCGUGUCGUGAGAUGUUGGGUUAAGUCCCGCAACGAGCGCAACCCUUGAACUUAGUUGCCAGCACUUCGGGUGGGCACUCUAGGUUGACUGCCGGUGACAAACCGGAGGAAGGCGGGGAUGACGUCAAAUCAUCAUGCCCCUUAUGACCUGGGCUACACACGUACUACAAUGGCCGGUACAACGGGCUGCGAAGGAGCGAUCCGGAGCCAAUCCUACCAAAGCCGGUCUCAGUUCGGAUUGCAGGCUGCAACUCGCCUGCAUGAAGUCGGAAUUGCUAGUAAUCGCGGAUCAGCAUGCCGCGGUGAAUACGUUCCCGGGCCUUGUACACACCGACGCGUA